AUGGAGAACGGACAGCCGCAGCCUCCUCCAGGCUACCCGACGGUGGACCCGAAACAGCAGGCCGGCGGCAGGAGGAAAUGCUGCUGCGGGCCGUGGCGCCGCAGGACCAAGCCUGCGCGUGGGCGUGGGGAGACCAGUUUCAUCGAGGGAUGCCUUGCCGCGCUCUGUUGCUGCUGGCUUUGCGAGCUGUGCUGCGAUUGA
RNAcentral lists this ribosomal RNA (201 nucleotides) under Triticum aestivum (bread wheat). RNAcentral's name for it is "partial small subunit ribosomal RNA". Lineage: Eukaryota; Viridiplantae; Streptophyta; Magnoliopsida; Poales; Poaceae. The record is from RNAcentral.